RNAcentral lists this ribosomal RNA (253 nucleotides) under uncultured bacterium. RNAcentral's name for it is "partial 16S ribosomal RNA". It matches the Rfam family "Bacterial small subunit ribosomal RNA", at positions 524 to 776 of the family's 1533-position model. The record is from RNAcentral.
UACGUAGGGUGCGAGCGUUGUCCGGAAUUAUUGGGCGUAAAGAGCUCGUAGGCGGUUUGUUGCGUCUAUCGUGAAAACCUGCAGCUUAACUGUGGGCUUGCGGUGGAUACGGGCAGACUUGAGUUCGGUAGGGGAGACUGGAAUUCCUGGUGUAGCGGUGAAAUGCGCAGAUAUCAGGAGGAACACCGGUGGCGAAGGCGGGUCUCUGGGCCGAUACUGACGCUGAGGCGCGAAAGCGUGGGGAGCAAACAGG